Molecule: non-coding RNA, 115 nt
Filed under: Cricetulus griseus (Chinese hamster)
Lineage: Eukaryota; Metazoa; Chordata; Mammalia; Rodentia; Cricetidae
Description: Eukaryotic small subunit ribosomal RNA
Rfam family: Eukaryotic small subunit ribosomal RNA
Source: Rfam by way of RNAcentral
GCCCUGCAGGGGUCUGCCCAUGGCCCUGGCUGAGUGCUGAGAAGUGGAAUGAGUAUCUAGAGGAAGUAAAAGUCCCAACAAGGUUUCAGCAGGUGAACCUGCAGAUGGAUCAUUA